Molecule: ribosomal RNA, 253 nt
Filed under: uncultured bacterium
Lineage: Bacteria
Description: partial 16S ribosomal RNA
Rfam family: Bacterial small subunit ribosomal RNA
Source: RNAcentral
UACAGAGGGUGCGAGCGUUAAUCGGAAUUACUGGGCGUAAAGGGCGCGUAGGCGGUUAGAAGAGUGUGAUGUGAAAGCCCCGGGCUUAACCUGGGAAGCGCAUUGCAAACGAUCUGACUGGAGUAUAUGAGAGGGUGGUGGAAUUUCCGGUGUAGCGGUGAAAUGCGUAGAGAUCGGAAGGAACGUCAAUGGCGAAGGCAGCCACCUGGCAUAAUACUGACGCUGAGGCGCGAAAGCGUGGGGAGCGAACAGG